RNAcentral lists this ribosomal RNA (2739 nucleotides) under metagenome. Its description in RNAcentral is "bacterial LSU rRNA". It matches the Rfam family "Bacterial large subunit ribosomal RNA". The record is from RNAcentral.
AGGGCGCAGGGCGAAUGCCUUGGCACUGGGAGCCGAUGAAAGACGUGAUAAGCUGCGAUAAGCUUCGGGGAGCUGCAAAUAAGCAUUGAUCCGGAGAUUUCUGAAUGAGGAAACUCACCUGGGUUCAUACUCAGGUACAAUACACUGAAAUUCAAAAUAGGUGUAUUGAGGGAACCGCCUGAACUGAAACAUCUAAGUAGGGCGAGGAAGAGACAUCAAACGAGAUUCCGUAAGUAGUGGCGAGCGAACGCGGAAGAGGGCAAACCGAGAGUAGAAAUACUUUCGGGGUACGGACUGCUUUUAAGACUCAAUCUGUUAACCGAACGGCAUGGGAAGGCCGGUCAGAGAGUGUGAGAACCACGUAGGUGAAAACGGAGAGAGCUGCGCAGGAUCCAGAGUACGGCCAGACACGUGAAACCUGGUCGGAAUACGGGGGGACCACCCUCCAACCCUAAAUACUACCCAGUGACCGAUAGCGUAUAGUACUGUGAAGGAAAGGUGAAAAGCACCCCGGGAGGGGAGUGAAAAAGAACCUGAAACCCUGUGCCUACAAGCACCUAGAGCACGUCAAUGUGUGAUAGGGUACUUUUUGUAGAACGGUCCGGCGAGCGAUUGUAUGCAGCAAGGUUAAGGACUUAAGGUCUGGAGCCGAAGCGAAAGCGAGUUUGAAAAGGGCGUUAAGUUGCAUAUAAUGGGCCCGAAACCGGGUGACCUACCCAUGGUCAGGUUGAAGUGGAAGUAAAAUUCCAUGGAGGACCGAACCGACCUCCGUUGAAAAGGCGGCGGAUGAACUGUGGGUAGCGGAGAAAUUCCAAUCGAACCCGGAGAUAGCUGGUUCUCCCCGAAAUAGUUUUAGGACUAGCCUCAAGUUAGAUACCUGGAGGUAAAGCACUGAAUAGCCUAGCGGCCGAGAGGUUAGCGAAGCUUAUCAAACUCAGAAUGCCAGAGUAUUGAUGCUUGGGAGUCAGACAGUGUCAGAUAAAUGUCAUUGUCAAAAGGGAAACAGCCCAGAUCUACAGCUAAGGUCCCAAAGUCAGGUUAAGUGGAAAACGAUGUGAAGAUACGCAGACAACCAGGAUGUUGGCUCAGAAGCAGCCACUCAUUCAAAGAGUGCGUAAUAGCUCACUGGUCGAGCGUCUUUGCGCGGAGAAUUUAACGGGGCUAAACCUGACACCGAAGCUUAGGCAAUACAGCAAUGUAUUGGGUAGGGGAGCGUUGUAUACGCGGAGAAACAGUAGCGCAAGCGGCUGUGGAGUGUAUAGAAGUGAGAAUGCCGGAAUGAGUAGCGCGAAUGCAGUGAGAAUCUGCAUGGCCGAAAGCCUCAGGUUUCUGGAGGAAGGUUCGUCCGCUCCAGGUUAGUCGGGAGCUAAGGUGAGGCCGAAAGGCGUAGCCGAUGCACAGACGGUAGAGAUUCCGUCACCACCAAAAGAGUUAAGCACAGGGACACAUAUGAAGUCUCAGAGCCGGGUGUUGGUUCCGGUAGAGAUCGAGGGAAAUUAGUACCGAAGUCUGAGAUGGAAGAUGGCGAGAAAAGCUGUGUGUAUUUCUGAGGUGCCCGUACCGCAAACCGACACAGGUAGGUAGGAAGAAGAUUCUAAGGCCAACGGGAGAAGGGUUGUUAAGGAACUCGGCAAAUUGACCCCGUAACUUCGGGAGAAGGGGUGCUCCAGAGAUGGAGCCGCAGAGAAUCGGCCCAAGCAACUGUUUACCAAAAACACAGGUUUGUGCUAAAUCGAAAGAUGACGUAUACGAGCUGACGCCUGCCCGGUGCUGGAAGGUUAAGAGGAGAUGUGCAAGCAUUGAAUCGAAGCCCCAGUGAACGGCGGCCGUAACUAUAACGGUCCUAAGGUAGCGAAAUUCCUUGUCAGGUAAGUUCUGACCCGCAUGAAAGGCGUAAUGAUUUGGGCACUGUCUCAACAGCCCGCCCGGCGAAAUUGUAGUACCGGUGAAGAUGCCGGUUACCCGCGACAAGACGGAAAGACCCCAUGGAGCUUUACUGUAGCCUAAUAUUGGGUUUCGAUGUUGCAUGCACAGGAUAGAUGGGACUCUUGGAAACCAAGGCUUUGGCUUUGGCGGAGAGGCCGUUGGGAUACCAUCCUUGCGAUAUUGGAAUUCUAACCUGCGGCUCUGAAUCGAGUCGGGGGACAUUGUUAGGUGGGCAGUUUGACUGGGGCGGUCGCCUCCUAAAGAGUAACGGAGGCGUUCAAAGGUUCGCUCAGCUUGAACGGAAAUCAAGCAAAAGAGUGCAAACGCAGAAGCGAGCCUAACUGCGAGACUGACGGGUCGAGCAGUAACGAAAGUUGGAGUUAGUGAUCCGGUGGUAUGUGAGUGGAAAUGCCAUCGCUCAACGGAUAAAAGUUACCCUGGGGAUAACAGGCUGAUCUCCCCCAAGAGUCCACAUCGACGGGGAGGUUUGGCACCUCGAUGUCGGCUCAUCGCAUCCUGGGGCUGAAUUCGGUCCCAAGGGUUGGGCUGUUCGCCCAUUAAAGCGGUACGCGAGCUGGGUUCAGAACGUCGUGAGACAGUUCGGUCCCUAUCUGUCGUGGGCGCAGGAUAUUUGAUGGGAGCUGUCCCUAGUACGAGAGGACCGGGACGGACGUACCUCUGGCGCACCAGUUGUUCCGCCAGGAGCAUAGCUGGGCAACUACGUACGGAUCGGAUAAACGCUGAAAGCAUCUAAGCGUGAAGCCGACCCAAAGAUAAGAUAUCCCACUGAUUUGAUCAGGUAAGAUCCCUUGU